UACGGAGGGGGCUAGCGUUGUUCGGAAUUACUGGGCGUAAAGCGCACGUAGGCGGAUUGUUAAGUCGGGGGUGAAAUCCUGGAGCUCAACUCCAGAAUUGCCUUCGAUACUGGCUUUCUAGAGGCUGGAAGAGGUUAGUGGAAUUCCCAGUGUAGAGGUGAAAUUCGUAGAUAUUGGGAAGAACACCAGUGGCGAAGGCGGCUAACUGGUCCAGAUCUGACGCUGAGGUGCGAAAGCGUGGGGAGCAAACAGG
Molecule: ribosomal RNA, 253 nt
Filed under: uncultured bacterium
Lineage: Bacteria
Description: partial 16S ribosomal RNA
Rfam family: Bacterial small subunit ribosomal RNA
Source: RNAcentral